UUAAAAAUUAAAACUAAAUCGUAUUUCCUCUCAUUAGCUGUCAAAUAUUCCAAACUCGUGGCUGUGACGCUAUACACCACAGAGAAGUCUCUAGGUAACUGCACCCGAUGGCAUAUUCGUAAUAUUUUUGUAAACUAGUGGCUGAUAACAAUCACAAACUCUUAUAUAUACCCUCAUAUCUCUGCCGUCUAUCAACAUUACGUUCACGAUAACCCUAAAAAUCAAAGGAAAGAACACGCCUCUUCUUUGAUAUUCAUCGUCGAUCGUUUUAUUCUUUUCUUCAUCAAGAUCGGAGAUCUGAAUUUUCGUUCUAGAGGAGUCGUACAACAACAAAAUUUAUAUUG
Long non-coding RNA from Lactuca sativa (garden lettuce), 344 nucleotides. RefSeq lists it as uncharacterized. The record is from RefSeq and is a predicted model, not a curated record. Lineage: Eukaryota; Viridiplantae; Streptophyta; Magnoliopsida; Asterales; Asteraceae.